AUGAAUCUUGUAACUUGGCUUAUAACGCUAUUACAAGGCCUUUCCGAGUCCAGGUCCGUCAGCUUUUUAACCAGGCUCUAGGAGAAGAUUAUUAUUCAAACCACUUGCUUCAUUCCACGUAGACAAUGUCUACCGCCUAUUUCAUCAUUCCCAAUGAUAUAUGUUGCUUGUUGCCAUCUCUCGAACAUCGCGUCUCGGAUUUUGAGGGUGAUUGCGAUGUCUAUCGGGAUCGAAUUCGUCUGACUGGUUAUAGUCCGUCGAUCGACAUUGCUACUGCCUCAUGUUGACAAAUUAAAUUUUCGAAUAAAGUAGCUUAUAUUGUUUGACCAGAAAAAUUUUUACAUUUGUAAAACAGUGCAUAUUUUUCUGUGGCGAGAUAUUAGAUUUCUAUAGUUGAAAA
Long non-coding RNA from Daphnia magna, 400 nucleotides. RefSeq lists it as uncharacterized. Lineage: Eukaryota; Metazoa; Arthropoda; Branchiopoda; Diplostraca; Daphniidae. The record is from RefSeq and is a predicted model, not a curated record. The transcript has 2 exons.